Perognathus longimembris pacificus (Pacific pocket mouse) is the source of this 155-nucleotide long non-coding RNA. RefSeq lists it as uncharacterized. Lineage: Eukaryota; Metazoa; Chordata; Mammalia; Rodentia; Heteromyidae. The transcript has 2 exons. The record is from RefSeq and is a predicted model, not a curated record.
GAUGAAAGCAAUCAGUAUUAUUUUAUCUGCAUGUUUAAAUUUGGAAGGGAUUAAGCUUAGAAGUUGAAUAUUUUUGUGGUGUCAUUGAGUGAGCUCCAGGCUUUGGAAUCUGCUAUUCAGCUUCUCUUUCUGCCAUGUACUAUUUGGGGACAAUU